This 305-nucleotide small nuclear RNA is filed under the name Castor canadensis (American beaver). RNAcentral's name for it is "7SK RNA (ENSCCNG00000004434.1)". It matches the Rfam family "7SK RNA". From Rfam's summary of the family: 7SK was discovered as an abundant small nuclear RNA in the mid-70s but a possible function has only recently been suggested. Two independent studies have found that 7SK RNA binds the CDK9/cyclin T complex (known as elongation factor P-TEFb). The record is from Rfam by way of RNAcentral. Lineage: Eukaryota; Metazoa; Chordata; Mammalia; Rodentia; Castoridae.
GGAUGUGAGGGUGAUCUGGCUGCAUCUGUCACCCCACUGCUCUCCAGGGUUGAUUCGGCUGGCUAGGCGGGUGUCCCCUUCCUCCCUCACCGCUCCAUGUGCAUCCCUCCCCAAGCUGCACGCUUGAUCGAAGAGGACGACCGUCCCCCCGCCAGUAGAGGAGGACCGUUCUUCGGUCAAGGGUAUAUGAGAAGCUGCGCUCCCCUGCUAGAACCUCCAAACAAGCUCUGAAACAAAGGGACUUUGGAGCCAUCUCUGAAUCUACUCCAGUGUGGGUUGGCUAAAGAUCCAUCUUACCUAGUUCU